AGUGAACGCUGGCGGUAGGCCUAACACAUGCAAGUCGAACGGCGGCACAGUAAGAGCUUGCUCUUACGGGUGGCGAGUGGCGGACGGGUGAGGAAUACAUCGGAAUCUACUUUUUCGUGGGGGAUAACGUAGGGAAACUUACGCUAAUACCGCAUACGACCUACGGGUGAAAGCAGGGGAUCUUCGGACCUUGCGCGAUUGAAUGAGCCGAUGUCGGAUUAGCUAGUUGGCGGGGUAAAGGCCCACCAAGGCGACGAUCCGUAGCUGGUCUGAGAGGAUGAUCAGCCACACUGGAACUGAGACACGGUCCAGACUCCUACGGGAGGCAGCAGUGGGGAAUAUUGGACAAUGGGCGCAAGCCUGAUCCAGCCAUACCGCGUGGGUGAGGAAGGCCUUCGGGUUGUAAAGCCCUUUUGUUGGGAAAGAAAAGCAGCAGGUUAAUACCCCGCUGUUCUGACGGUACCCAAAGAAUAAGCACCGGCUAACUUCGUG
Molecule: ribosomal RNA, 492 nt
Filed under: uncultured bacterium
Lineage: Bacteria
Description: partial 16S ribosomal RNA
Rfam family: Bacterial small subunit ribosomal RNA
Source: RNAcentral